This 253-nucleotide ribosomal RNA is filed under the name uncultured bacterium. RNAcentral describes it as "partial 16S ribosomal RNA". It matches the Rfam family "Bacterial small subunit ribosomal RNA", at positions 524 to 776 of the family's 1533-position model. The record is from RNAcentral.
UACGGAGGGGGCUAGCGUUGCCCGGAAUUACUGGGCGUAAAGCGCACGUAGGCGGCUUUGUAAGUUAGAGGUGAAAGACUGGAGCUCAACUCCAGAAUUGCCUUUAAGACUGCAUCGCUUGAAUCCAGGAGAGGUGAGUGGAAUUCCGAGUGUAGAGGUGAAAUUCGUAGAUAUUCGGAAGAACACCAGUGGCGAAGGCGGGUCACUGGACUGGUAUUGACGCUGAGGUGCGAAAGCGUGGGGAGCAAACAGG